This 430-nucleotide ribosomal RNA is filed under the name Pseudomonadota bacterium. Its description in RNAcentral is "Proteobacteria bacterium partial 16S ribosomal RNA". It matches the Rfam family "Bacterial small subunit ribosomal RNA", at positions 355 to 776 of the family's 1533-position model. Lineage: Bacteria; Pseudomonadati; Pseudomonadota. The record is from RNAcentral.
UGGGGAAUAUUGGACAAUGGGGGGAACCCUGAUCCAGCCAUGCCGCGUGUGUGAAGAAGGCCUUAUGGUUGUAAAGCACUUUAAGCGAGGAGGAGGGUACUGGUAUUAAUACUACCAGCUACUGGACGUUACUCGCAGAAUAAGCACCGGCUAACACUGUGCCAGCAGCCGCGGUAAUACAGAGGGUGCGAGCGUUAAUCGGAAUUACUGGGCGUAAAGCGCGCGUAGGUGGUUCGUUAAGUUGAAUGUGAAAGCCCCGGGCUCAACCUGGGAACUGCAUCCAAAACUGGCGAGCUAGAGUAGGGCAGAGGGUGGUGGAAUUUCCUGUGUAGCGGUGAAAUGCGUAGAUAUAGGAAGGAACACCAGUGGCGAAGGCGACCACCUGGGCUCAUACUGACACUGAGGUGCGAAAGCGUGGGGAGCAAACAGG